RNAcentral lists this ribosomal RNA (445 nucleotides) under uncultured bacterium. RNAcentral describes it as "bacterial SSU rRNA". It matches the Rfam family "Bacterial small subunit ribosomal RNA", at positions 330 to 792 of the family's 1533-position model. The record is from RNAcentral.
ACCAGACUCCUACGGGAGGCAGCAGUGGGGAAUAUUGCACAAUGGGGGAAACCCUGAUGCAGCGACGCCGCGUGAGUGAAGAAGUAUUUCGGUAUGUAAAGCUCUAUCAGCAGGGAAGAAAAUGACGGUACCUGACUAAGAAGCCCCGGCUAACUACGUGCCAGCAGCCGCGGUAAUACGUAGGGGGCAAGCGUUAUCCGGAUUUACUGGGUGUAAAGGGAGCGUAGACGGCAGUGCAAGUCCGGAGUGAAAGCCCGGGGCUCAACCCUGGGACUGCUCUGGAAACUGUAAAGCUGGAGUGCGGGAGGGGCAGGCGGAAUUCCUGGUGUAGCGGUGAAAUGCGUAGAUAUCAGGAGGAACACCGGCGGCGAAGGCGGCCUGCUGGACCGUAACUGACGUUGAGGCUCGAAAGCGUGGGGAGCAAACAGGAUUAGAUACCCUAGUA